This is a long non-coding RNA of Petromyzon marinus (sea lamprey), 1285 nucleotides long. RefSeq lists it as uncharacterized. NCBI's taxonomy places the organism in Eukaryota, Metazoa, Chordata, Hyperoartia, Petromyzontiformes, Petromyzontidae. The record is from RefSeq and is a predicted model, not a curated record.
UCAAGUCUCUGCACCUGCUGCUAUGGCGUGUGCGGUGAAUGCGGUUCAGGGUUGCCCGUAAAGACUUACAGGUGGUUGAAGAGAAUGGUGCGCUACCGGUGAACACCUUAUGAGGGAGGUGUCAUUGUGUCUUGAGCUCCGAAGAAUCGUAGCGGAACAACUGCUGUUCAAUGAAUGGGUCACUGGACAUGCGGUCUACAUAACUACAGUACAUGUGACGCAAAAGCAAACGUCUCAGCGGAGCGCCCAAGCGCUCUUGUCAAGCGACUCUGACAGCUGCCAACGGAGCCACAUGGUCACAUAAACAAAGAGUAAAGUCGCCGAACACACGGGGCAUCAGCAGCCGCAGCCCCAAAACUUCACAGCAGCCUAUUAACCGUAACAUUCAACAGACAAAAUAACAGCAACACACGCUGAAGAAGAAGAACCCCACUGCGCACCCGCAAUGGAACGCACUGAAAUGGUUCAUGAAAGACAGGCUAAAUACUAAAAGGCAAGUCACUUUCUACAGCAGGCUAGGAAACCGUUGAAGUGCUUGUCCUAGUUCAAGGGGUCCUAUAUAGACGAGGCACUAUCGUUGUGUACGAGUGUGCACGUAUAUCGCAUGUGUCACGAAAUUACAAGGUCAUUAGUUUUAAAGGAAACAUUGUGCAGAAAUCCUGCCACGCGUUUCCUUGGAAAUAAAAACGGCACCACUUGGAUUUUGAAACGUGAUUUUAACAUUUUAUUUUCAUUGAAUGUUCAGGAAACAUAAACAAAUACGCGAAUUUAGUUUGCCCUUCUGCUAAGAGACAGCAUGCAGAUAUUUUAUUUCCGACGUAGAAUUUGCAACGACAAAAGUUUCAAGGAAAAUCGAUGGGUUUUUUCUUGCAUGGCUAGUUGAGCAUUUCGCAUGAGGGUGGCCGAUGUCAAUAAAGGUGACUGCAAAUUUGACAAUUCUGAAGAAUGAAGUUAUAAAUGCACAACACAUCAACUGCUUCACAGCAAGACGCAGACCUCUUUAUGUGCUGCUAUGGUUGACUGUGCUUCCCACUUGGGGCAGCUUCAAUGCGGCACAGCAGUGCCACAUGUUGAGUCACACCACGAACAUUUGAAUGGCCUGGGGACAAUCACGCUAUACACCGCAUCGCAUGAAAGGAAAACUAAAUAAAUGGUGUCAAAUUGUCUCGUCCAUUAUUUGUCACGUGACUCUUUCUUCUUCCCAUUCCGAACGGUUGUCUUAUUGCCGGGCCCGAAAGUUGUUCAAGCAAAGCUCAUACAACACAAGGAAGAAAAAUCGUGCGUG